This 301-nucleotide ribosomal RNA is filed under the name uncultured bacterium. RNAcentral describes it as "partial 16S ribosomal RNA". It matches the Rfam family "Bacterial small subunit ribosomal RNA", at positions 509 to 807 of the family's 1533-position model. The record is from RNAcentral.
CAGCCGCCACGGGAAUACGUAGGUGGCAAGCGUUGUCCGGAAUUAUUGGGCGUAAAGGGCUCGCAGGCGGUUUCUUAAGUCUGAUGUGAAAGCCCCCGGCUCAACCGGGGAGGGUCAUUGGAAACUGGGAAACUUGAGUGCAGAAGAGGAGAGUGGAAUUCCACGUGUAGCGGUGAAAUGCGUAGAGAUGUGGAGGAACACCAGUGGCGGAGGCGACUCUCUGGUCUGUAACUGACGCUGAGGAGCGAAAGCGUGGGGAGCGAACAGGAUUAGAUACCCCUGUAGUCCCUGUCUCUUAUAC